This is a long non-coding RNA of Bos taurus (domestic cattle), 1643 nucleotides long. NCBI's taxonomy places the organism in Eukaryota, Metazoa, Chordata, Mammalia, Artiodactyla, Bovidae. The record is from Ensembl.
CAGGCAGGGCAACCCUCUCUCUGGGCCCCAUUUUCCACAACCAUUAAAGAAAGAGAUGGCUUUCUCUGAUCACUAAGAUCUUCCUUUGAAAAUGUUUUUGACCCCAGGGCUGUGUUUAGAACUCAUGAAGCAAGAAAUCAGCCACUUUUAAAGAACUGCUACUCUGACCUAGAAAUGUUCCACGGUUUGUCCUCUGUUCUCCCUUUGGAGCAGACAUUUAAAUAAAAAUGAAAGGAACCGCCACUGUUUUUCUAAGCACAGUGUGUAAUGAAGGGAGUGAUUAUCUGGGCAAAAAGAACAGCUCAUUCCUCAAUUUUUAAAAUUAGCACUUCUUCUCCCUCUAGUGGAAAUGUGAUGCAUUUGCUGUAAAUCAAAUGGAUAUCCUUGUGAUGGACAGGGAAGCCUGGCAUGCUGCAGUCCAUGGGGUCGCAGAGAGUCUGGACAUGACUGAGCGACUGAACUGAACUGAAAAGUUAAGUGUUCAUCAAACAAAAUAGAGAAGAGUUAGCAUGAAUGAGUCGUAAUAUGGGAUCAAACUAAACUCAAUUUGUUACAAUGUUUUCCUACAUGAAUAUCUUAAAUAUUCUACUUGUUUAAAAACUUCAAGGUUAAAAAUGAAAACCUGCAAAAUAGAUUUAGACACAUAAUCUGCAAAUGAAAUAAGCAGGUCCAAAUGAGAUGUUUUGUACUUAAUUUAUACUUUGUAUUUAAUUUUCUGGUAGUCAUGUAUGGAUGGGAGAGUUGGACCAUAAAGAAGACUGAGCACCAAAGAAUUGAUGCUUUUGAACUGUAGUGCUGGAGAAGACUCUUGAGAGUCCUUUGGACAGCAAGGAGAUCAAACCAGUCAAUCAACCCUGAAUAUUCAUUGGAAGGACUGAUGCUGAAUACUUUGGCCACCUGAGACAAAGAGCUGACUCAUGGAAAAGACCUUGAUGCUGGGAAAGAUUGAAGGCAAGAGGAGAAGGGGGUGACAGAGAAUGAGAUGGCUGGAUGGCAUCACCGACUCAAUGGACAUGAGUUUGGAUGGCAUCACUGACUCAAUGGACAUGAGUUUGCGCAAACUCAGGGAGAUGGUGACGGACAGGGAAGCCUGGCAUGCUGCAGUCAGUCCAUGGGAUCACAAAGAGUCCGACAUAGCUGGGCGACUGAACAACGACGAUUUAAUUUAUACCCUCAAAAAUGCUACAAUCAGUUCACUUAUGAAAAGUACUGAGUCAAAGCAGUCACUGAAUGGGACAAGACCGAAGGAAGGAGAGUUAUAAGACAGAGUGUUUGGGCAAGAAUUGUCCAUUUCAACUCAGUUUAAUGCAUAGGUACUUAUUCCAUGUAUCUUCUAUCUUUCUGAAAACUUUCUUGACUCCCCAGGCAAAGUAAACUGUCCCCUGACUUGUAAGCACCUCCUGUGGCCAUAGGACAUAUGUCAACAGUGGUUUGUGGGCACGUUCAAAUUUCCACCUGGAGAAUGCACUCCUUAUGUGCCUCCUUCUCAUGGCUGAAGAGUGGCAUCGCUGGAGAGACUACGACUUCAAAAAGUGAAAGUGAAAGUCGCUCAGUCGUGUCUGACUCUUUGCGACCCCAUGGACUAUAUAGUCCAUGGAAUUCUCCAUGCCAGAAUACUGGAGUGGGUAGCCUUUCCCUUCUCC